Non-coding RNA from Myotis brandtii (Brandt's bat), 127 nucleotides. NCBI's taxonomy places the organism in Eukaryota, Metazoa, Chordata, Mammalia, Chiroptera, Vespertilionidae. The record is from Rfam.
UUUGCACCAGGGGGGUCCCUCGGCCAGGCCUGCACCCUCUCGCAAUCUGGGACCCAUCGGGGGAUAUCAGAGAGCCAGUUUCAGUCCGAUCCCCGCAGGCCAGGCCGAGGGACCCCACUGGUGCAUA